GUUUACUAAACGGCUCAAUAUUUGUCACAAUUCUUGCCAGCUCCCUUUUGCUCUGUUUAUCCUGUACUGGUUCCUGGCUCAGUUUGGGGCUGAGGACACAACCCUGGAUGUGGGACCUCUGAGUGUCCAUUGUGGACUCAGAGAGGGUGGAUAAAUGAUGCUCUCAUCAACUGCUUCUCCUUUGCUACCUUCUCACUUCGUUCCCCAUGUCUGCACCGAGCUCCUUUCAGUAGGAAGAGAGUUGGGAAAUGAUGCAAUCCCUGUCCUGUCCUGUCCGCCCAUCCAAAAAUGUUGAGUGUAUCUAUGGCAAAAUGAUGCUGGUUUCAAUGAGCUAAAGUGAAAAGGAUAGAUGCUGGUUCGUUAUCUCUAAUUGCCUCACUUUGCAGCCCAGUCCUAGGCUAUCCAAUUGAGUAGACAGUACUUCUCUGUUUGGGGCUCUUUGGUCUUACAGUAAUCUUCUCGGAAUAGAACUUCUACGAUUCUUUCUCUGAAAUAAUAAGGUUUAAGGCCACAUCUGUGAAGAUAUAGCAGAUAGCUCAUUUCAACAGGAAUUGUACGUGAAGGGCCUUUAAAAAUCUCUUCCUGAAGGUCUGCUAAUGAAACAGCCCUGAGAUCUCAAGGGCCAGGGAGAGAAACAGGUGAUAAACAUAACACAGCUGAUAACAUUGAGGAUUCAAAGUGAUCCUCAAUUAGUGGGGCACCAGGUGUUCCAAAGGAGCUACAUAAAAGACGAUGUGGAAAGAGAAGGAGAGGGAGGGUGUUGGAGAGUGUGCUUCUGGUUUGCUGAGGCUGGAGAUCUGCUUUGGAGCAGGAGCUUGCCUCUCCAGCGAGGACUCACCACUUGGCUUGGCACUAUGGAAGCACUCUCAGCAGCUGCAAUACUGAAGAAGAUCCUCCAUCUCUUUUGCCAGAUCGGUUGGGCUACGUUCAACAACAAGCUGAAGGAGAAAAACUCUUCAGUGUCCUUCUAUUCCCGUUUCUCAGUGAGGUGUACUUUCUCCUUGCUGUGCUAGAACUACAAAU
Molecule: long non-coding RNA, 1023 nt
Filed under: Numida meleagris (helmeted guineafowl)
Lineage: Eukaryota; Metazoa; Chordata; Aves; Galliformes; Numididae
Description: lncRNA (ENSNMEG00000012253.1)
Source: RNAcentral